UACAGAGGGGGCAAGCGUUAUUCGGAAUUAUUGGGCGUAAAGGGCGCGUAGGCGGCCUGGCAAGUGGAUGGUGAAAUCCCUCGGCUUAACCGAGGAACUGCCGUCCAAACUGCUUGGCUUGAGUCCGGGAGAGGUGAGUGGAAUUCCCAGUGUAGCGGUGAAAUGCGUAGAUAUUGGGAGGAACACCAGUGGCGAAGGCGGCUCACUGGACCGGAACUGACGCUGAUGCGCGAAAGCGUGGGGAGCAAACGGG
Molecule: ribosomal RNA, 253 nt
Filed under: uncultured bacterium
Lineage: Bacteria
Description: partial 16S ribosomal RNA
Rfam family: Bacterial small subunit ribosomal RNA
Source: RNAcentral